AGUGAACGCUGGCGGUAGGCCUAACACAUGCAAGUCGAACGGCAGCACAGUAAGAGCUUGCUCUUACGGGUGGCGAGUGGCGGACGGGUGAGGAAUACAUCGGAAUCUACUUUUUCGUGGGGGAUAACGUAGGGAAACUUACGCUAAUACCGCAUACGACCUACGGGUGAAAGCAGGGGAUCUUCGGACCUUGCGCGAUUGAAUGAGCCGAUGUCGGAUUAGCUAGUUGGCGGGGUAAAGGCCCACCAAGGCGACGAUCCGUAGCUGGUCUGAGAGGAUGAUCAGCCACACUGGAACUGGGACACGGUCCAGGCUCCUACGGGAGGCAGCAGUGGGGAAUAUUGGACAAAGGGCGCAAGCCUGGUCCAGCCAUACCGCGUGGGAGAAGAAGGCCUUCGGGUUGUAAAGCCCUUUUGUUGGGAAAGAAAAGCAGCAGGUUAAUACCCCGCUGUUCUGACGGUACCCAAAGAAUAAGCACCGGCUAACUUCGUG
RNAcentral lists this ribosomal RNA (492 nucleotides) under uncultured bacterium. RNAcentral's name for it is "partial 16S ribosomal RNA". It matches the Rfam family "Bacterial small subunit ribosomal RNA", at positions 29 to 507 of the family's 1533-position model. The record is from RNAcentral.